UUUCAAACUUUUGAAAAAAAUGGCAUUUACAAAUGCAUCUGUUUAUAUAUAUGUGUGUUUACAUACAAGCAUGAGUCUGUUUUUGAAAGAAAAGAAAAGAAAGGUAGAAGAAUGAUUAGAAGCAUGUUGAUAAAAAUGGAGUCUUGAGUCCUGAGUCAUUGUUGGCUUUGUGGAGUGAUUGCGGUGUUAAGUCGGGUCUAGAGUAGUUGGGCGGAGAACGGCCUGAUCUACGGGCGGCGGCCGGAGAUUCGAGGGAGAACCGAGGGUGUCGCCGUUGCUUCGGCGAGCUCGGGCGGCGGCGGUUUUCGUUGGUGGAGGAGCGGAUUUUGAGAAGCAGAGAGAGGGGUUUUGUGUGUGUGCGUCGAGUGCGAGAGAAGGGGGAUCAAGGGAGAGGGUGACCGGAGGCGGCGGCGCUUCGCCGGAGAAGAGGGUGGCGCCGCACCAAACUCUGGUGUGUGCGUGUGUUUGAUAAAGGGGAAGAGGAAGAAGGAUUAAGAGGAAUAGGGUUGGGGUGUGUUGGGCCAUUGCAUUGGGCCGGUUUUUAUUU
This 547-nucleotide long non-coding RNA is filed under the name Salvia miltiorrhiza (redroot sage). RNAcentral describes it as "long non-coding RNA (SMIL_LNC003056)". The record is from RNAcentral. Lineage: Eukaryota; Viridiplantae; Streptophyta; Magnoliopsida; Lamiales; Lamiaceae.